This 161-nucleotide ribosomal RNA is filed under the name Avena sativa (oats). RNAcentral's name for it is "5.8S ribosomal RNA". It matches the Rfam family "5.8S ribosomal RNA". Rfam says of the family: 5.8S ribosomal RNA (5.8S rRNA) is a component of the large subunit of the eukaryotic ribosome. It is transcribed by RNA polymerase I as part of the 45S precursor that also contains 18S and 28S rRNA. The record is from RNAcentral. Lineage: Eukaryota; Viridiplantae; Streptophyta; Magnoliopsida; Poales; Poaceae.
ACACGACUCUCGGCAACGGAUAUCUCGGCUCUCGCAUCGAUGAAGAACGUAGCGAAAUGCGAUACCUGGUGUGAAUUGCAGAAUCCCGCGAACCAUCGAGUCUUUGAACGCAAGUUGCGCCCGAGGCCAUUCGGCCGAGGGCACGCCUGCCUGGGCGUCAC